RNAcentral lists this ribosomal RNA (253 nucleotides) under uncultured bacterium. RNAcentral describes it as "partial 16S ribosomal RNA". It matches the Rfam family "Bacterial small subunit ribosomal RNA", at positions 524 to 776 of the family's 1533-position model. The record is from RNAcentral.
UACGUAGGGACCGAGCGUUGUCCGGAUUCAUUGGGCGUAAAGAGCUCGUAGGCGGCCACUCAAGUCGAAUGUGAAACCUCGAGGCUUAACCUCGAGCCUGCAUUCGAUACUGGGCGGCUAGAGUCUGGUAGGGGGAUCUGGAAUUCCUGGUGUAGCGGUGGAAUGCGCAGAUAUCAGGAAGAACACCAAUGGCGAAAGCAGCUUUCUGGGACGGUACUGACGCUGAGACGCGAAAGCGUGGGGAGCGAACAGG